GACAGAGGUGGCGAGCGUUGUUCGGAAUCAUUGGGCUUAAAGCGUGUGCAGGCGGCGGCGUAAGUGUCGAGUGAAAGCCUGCGGCUCAACCGCAGAACGGCUCGGCAUACUGCGUCGCUUGAGGUCGGUAGAGGUGCCUGGAACUCUAGGUGGAGCGGUGAAAUGCGUAGAUAUCUAGAGGAACGCCUGAGGCGAAAGCGGGGCACUGGGCCGAUUCUGACGCUGAGACACGAAAGCGUGGGGAGCAAACAGG
Molecule: ribosomal RNA, 253 nt
Filed under: uncultured bacterium
Lineage: Bacteria
Description: partial 16S ribosomal RNA
Rfam family: Bacterial small subunit ribosomal RNA
Source: RNAcentral